GACGAACGCUGGCGGCGCGCUUAACACAUGCAAGUCGAACGAGGGGCGAACGGGUGAGUAAUACGUGAGUAACCUGCCCUCUGUUGGGGGAAAGCCUUGGAAAAGGGGUCUAAUACCGAAUAAAGGGGGAGGGGCUCGCGGCCUAUCAGCUGGUUGGUGGGGUGAGGGUCUACUAAGGCGGUGACGGGUAGCCGGCCUGAGAGGGUGACCCGCCACAGUGGGACUGAGAUACAGCCCAGACUCCUACAGGAGGUCGCAGUGGGGGAUAAUCCUCAGUGGGCUAAAGCCUGUAUGAGCGUCGUCGCGUGGGGGGUGAAGGCUUUCGGAUUGUAAACCUCUUUCGCUAUCGAAGGGUAGGUGGCGAAGAAGCGCCGGCUAACUCCGUGCCAGCAGCCGCGGUAAUUC
This 405-nucleotide ribosomal RNA is filed under the name uncultured bacterium. RNAcentral describes it as "partial 16S ribosomal RNA". It matches the Rfam family "Bacterial small subunit ribosomal RNA", at positions 28 to 526 of the family's 1533-position model. The record is from RNAcentral.